RNAcentral lists this ribosomal RNA (497 nucleotides) under uncultured bacterium. RNAcentral's name for it is "partial 16S ribosomal RNA". It matches the Rfam family "Bacterial small subunit ribosomal RNA", at positions 28 to 507 of the family's 1533-position model. The record is from RNAcentral.
GAUGAACGCUGGCGGCGUGCCUAAUACAUGCAAGUCGAGCGAACAGACGAGGAGCUUGCUCCUCUGACGUUAGCGGCGGACGGGUGAGUAACACGUGGAUAACCUACCUAUAAGACUGGGAUAACUUCGGGACACCGGAGCUAAUACCGGAUAACAUGUUGAACCGCAUGGUUCAACAGUGAAAUACGGUCUUGCUGUCACUUAUAGAUGGAUCCGCGCCGCAUUAGCUAGUUGGUAAGGUAACGGCUUACCAAGGCAACGAUGCGUAGCCGACCUGAGAGGGUGAUCGGCCACACUGGAACUGAGACACGGUCCAGACUCCUACGGGAGGCAGCAGUAGGGAAUCUUCCGCAAUGGGCGAAAGCCUGACGGAGCAACGCCGCGUGAGUGAAGAAGGUCUUCGGAUCGUAAAACUCUGUUAUGAGGGAAGAACAAAUGUGUAAGUAACUAUGCACGGCUUGACGGUACCUAAUCAGAAAGCCACGGCUAACUACGUG